RNAcentral lists this microRNA precursor (115 nucleotides) under Medicago truncatula (barrel medic). RNAcentral's name for it is "miR5209 stem-loop (mtr-MIR5209)". Lineage: Eukaryota; Viridiplantae; Streptophyta; Magnoliopsida; Fabales; Fabaceae. The record is from miRBase by way of RNAcentral.
UGGAAUUCGAGGAGGCGGUAUUGUUUGAACCAGGUUUUGUGCGAGCAAAGAAGGAAGUAAUGCUCCAUAAGUCAUUGGUAUGGGAUCAAACUGUUGUCUUUGAUUCUGCUGAUUG